Molecule: long non-coding RNA, 1528 nt
Organism: Haliotis rubra (blacklip abalone)
Lineage: Eukaryota; Metazoa; Mollusca; Gastropoda; Lepetellida; Haliotidae
Exons: 2
Source: RefSeq, a predicted model, not a curated record
CAUGUUCGAUGGGGUUCAAAUCAGGGCUUCUGGCUGGCCGUGGAACGGUUUUAAUUUAGCUUCUUGAUGCAGGAAAUCAAUGACUGCGGGUGCACGAUGUGGCCUGGCGUUGUCAUCCAUAAAGAUUGGCCUUGUUAAUAGGGGAUGAUUAUCAAACUGAGGCACUAUAAGCCUCCUCAAGAUUUCCUCUUGGUAUCUUUGUCCAUUCACAUUUCCUCUCACUGUGACAAGCUGAAGUUUGCAGUCAUACGACACACAGCCCCAUACCAUCAAUAAUCCUGCGCCGAAUGGAACUUCUUCCAGGAUGUUCCUUUCAGGACGUGCCCCGUUCCUCUACCGCCAUACAAGCGUCCUUCGAUCAUUAACAAACAGCAAAAAACGACUCACGUCUGAAAAAUGGAUUUUCCUCCAAGAAGCUAGAUUACACUGAUGCCGGUCACUGAUGCAUCACCGUAAUCUUGCAGAUAUAAAAUAUAAGUUAUCCAGCACCGGGUUCGUUAUUCACUCUAUCCCCAUCAGUUCUAUCAGAUAUAAAAUAUGAGAUAUAAGUUAUCCAGCACCAGGUUUGUUAUUCACUCUUUGCCCACCAGUUCUAUCAGAUAUAAAAUAUGAGAUAUAAGUUAUCCAGCACCGGGUUUGUUAUUCACUCUAUGCCCACCAGUUCUAUCAGAUAUAAAAUAUGAGAUAUAAGGUAUCCAGCACCGGGUUUGUUAUUCACUCUUUGCCCAUCAGUUCUAUCAGAUAUAAAAUAUGAGAUAUAAGGUAUCCAGCACCGGGUUCGUUAUUCACUCUACGCCCAUCAGUUCUAUCAGAUAUAUAAUAUAAGAUAUAUGGUAUCCAGCACCAGGUUUGUUAUUCACUCUAUGCCCAUCAGUUCUAUCAGAUAUAAAAUAUGAGAUAUAAGUUAUCCAGCACCGGGUUUGUUAUUCACUCUAUGCCCAUCAGUUCUAUCAGAUAUAAAAUAUGAGAUAUAAGGUAUCCAGCACCGGGUUCGUUAUUCACUCUAUGCCCAUCAGUUAUAUCAGAUAUAAAAUAUGAGAUAUAAGUUAUCCAGCACCAGGUUUGUUAUUCACUCUUUGCCCACCAGUUCUAUCAGAUAUAAAAUAUAAGAUAAAAGUUAUCCAGCACCGGGUUUGUUAUUUACUCUUUGCCCAUCAGUUCUAUCAGAUAUAAAAUAUGAGAUAAAAGUCAUUCAGCACCGGGUUCGUUAUUCACUCUUUGCCCAUCAGUUCUAUCAGAUAUAAAGUAUGAGAUAUAAGUUAUCCAGCACCGGGUUUGUUACUCUAUGCCCAUCAGUUCUAUCUGAUAUAAAAUAAUAGUUACCAAGCACUGGGUUUGUUAUUCUCUCUAUGCCCAUCAGUUCUAUCAGAUAUAAAAUAUAAGAUAUAAGUUAUCCAGCACCAGGUUUGUUAUUCACUCUUUGCCCAUCAGUUCUAUCAGAUAUAAAAUAUAAGAUAUAAGUCAUCCAGCACUGGGUUUGUUACUCUAUGCCCAUCAGUUCUAUCUGAUAUAAAAUAAUAGUUACCCA